RNAcentral lists this ribosomal RNA (227 nucleotides) under uncultured crenarchaeote. Its description in RNAcentral is "partial 16S ribosomal RNA". It matches the Rfam family "Archaeal small subunit ribosomal RNA", at positions 694 to 920 of the family's 1478-position model. The record is from RNAcentral. Lineage: Archaea; Thermoproteati; Thermoproteota.
ACGGUGAGGGAUGAAAGCUGGGGGAGCAAACCGGAUUAGAUACCCGGGUAGUCCCAGCUGUAAACCAUGCAAACUCAGUGAUGCAUUGGCUUGUGGCCAAUGCAGUGCUGCAGGGAAGCCGUUAAGUUUGCCGCCUGGGAAGUACGUACGCAAGUAUGAAACUUAAAGGAAUUGGCGGGGGAGCACCACAAGGGGUGAAGCCUGCGGUUCAAUUGGAGUCAACGCCA